Molecule: long non-coding RNA, 283 nt
Filed under: Capra hircus (goat)
Lineage: Eukaryota; Metazoa; Chordata; Mammalia; Artiodactyla; Bovidae
Description: lncRNA (ENSCHIG00010008286.1)
Source: RNAcentral
UUUCAUGGUUGGCUCUAGGUCACCAUUCUUUUUUACUCCCAGAAUCACAUCUGUACUUGCAGCUUCAUUUACCAUCUGGACACAAAGACUUGCAGAUUUAUGUCAUCAUCCAAUAUCUUAUCCCCUUGAAACCCAGAAGACAGCAUUUCUAAGAGAACAAGCUCAGGCCUGCCUGAUAGAAGCCAGCAGACAAUGUGGAGCAGAGUGUUUCAGAGAAAAACUCUGCACAUCAAAUGAUUUAGAAAUUAAAAUGAGAUGUGUCCCAAGAGGUGAGUGGUUGUAA